Molecule: ribosomal RNA, 253 nt
Filed under: uncultured bacterium
Lineage: Bacteria
Description: partial 16S ribosomal RNA
Rfam family: Bacterial small subunit ribosomal RNA
Source: RNAcentral
UACGGAGGGAGCUAGCGUUGUUCGGAAUUACUGGGCGUAAAGCGCACGUAGGCGGACUGUUAAGUCGGGGGUGAAAUCCUGGGGCUCAACCUCAGAAUUGCCUCCGAUACUGGCAGUCUCGAGUGCGGGAGAGGUGAGUGGAAUUCCCAGUGUAGAGGUGAAAUUCGUAGAUAUUGGGAAGAACACCAGUGGCGAAGGCGGCUCACUGGCCCGUAACUGACGCUGAGGUGCGAAAGCGUGGGGAGCAAACAGG